RNAcentral lists this ribosomal RNA (1715 nucleotides) under Staphylococcus aureus. Its description in RNAcentral is "partial 23S ribosomal RNA". It matches the Rfam family "Bacterial large subunit ribosomal RNA", at positions 1207 to 2925 of the family's 2925-position model. Lineage: Bacteria; Bacillati; Bacillota; Bacilli; Caryophanales; Staphylococcaceae. The record is from RNAcentral.
UUGUCCUUUGGACAAUGGUAGGAGAGCGUUCUAAGGGCGUUGAAGCAUGAUCGUAAGGACAUGUGGAGCGCUUAGAAGUGAGAAUGCCGGUGUGAGUAGCGAAAGAUGGGUGAGAAUCCCGUCCACCGAUUGACUAAGGUUUCCAGAGGAAGGCUCGUCCGCUCUGGGUUAGUCGGGUCCUAAGCUGAGGCCGACAGGCGUAGGCGAUGGAUAACAGGUUGAUAUUCCUGUACCACCUAUAAUCGUUUUAAUCGAUGGGGGGACGCAGUAGGAUAGGCGAAGCGUGCGAUUGGAUUGCACGUCUAAGCAGUAAGGCUGAGUAUUAGGCAAAUCCGGUACUCGUUAAGGCUGAGCUGUGAUGGGGAGAAGACAUUGUGUCUUCGAGUCGUUGAUUUCACACUGCCGAGAAAAGCCUCUAGAUAGAAAAUAGGUGCCCGUACCGCAAACCGACACAGGUAGUCAAGAUGAGAAUUCUAAGGUGAGCGAGCGAACUCUCGUUAAGGAACUCGGCAAAAUGACCCCGUAACUUCGGGAGAAGGGGUGCUCUUUAGGGUUAACGCCCAGAAGAGCCGCAGUGAAUAGGCCCAAGCGACUGUUUAUCAAAAACACAGGUCUCUGCUAAACCGUAAGGUGAUGUAUAGGGGCUGACGCCUGCCCGGUGCUGGAAGGUUAAGAGGAGUGGUUAGCUUCUGCGAAGCUACGAAUCGAAGCCCCAGUAAACGGCGGCCGUAACUAUAACGGUCCUAAGGUAGCGAAAUUCCUUGUCGGGUAAGUUCCGACCCGCACGAAAGGCGUAACGAUUUGGGCACUGUCUCAACGAGAGACUCGGUGAAAUCAUAGUACCUGUGAAGAUGCAGGUUACCCGCGACAGGACGGAAAGACCCCGUGGAGCUUUACUGUAGCCUGAUAUUGAAAUUCGGCACAGCUUGUACAGGAUAGGUAGGAGCCUUUGAAACGUGAGCGCUAGCUUACGUGGAGGCGCUGGUGGGAUACUACCCUAGCUGUGUUGGCUUUCUAACCCGCACCACUUAUCGUGGUGGGAGACAGUGUCAGGCGGGCAGUUUGACUGGGGCGGUCGCCUCCUAAAAGGUAACGGAGGCGCUCAAAGGUUCCCUCAGAAUGGUUGGAAAUCAUUCAUAGAGUGUAAAGGCAUAAGGGAGCUUGACUGCGAGACCUACAAGUCGAGCAGGGUCGAAAGACGGACUUAGUGAUCCGGUGGUUCCGCAUGGAAGGGCCAUCGCUCAACGGAUAAAAGCUACCCCGGGGAUAACAGGCUUAUCUCCCCCAAGAGUUCACAUCGACGGGGAGGUUUGGCACCUCGAUGUCGGCUCAUCGCAUCCUGGGGCUGUAGUCGGUCCCAAGGGUUGGGCUGUUCGCCCAUUAAAGCGGUACGCGAGCUGGGUUCAGAACGUCGUGAGACAGUUCGGUCCCUAUCCGUCGUGGGCGUAGGAAAUUUGAGAGGAGCUGUCCUUAGUACGAGAGGACCGGGAUGGACAUACCUCUGGUGUACCAGUUGUCGUGCCAACGGCAUAGCUGGGUAGCUAUGUGUGGACGGGAUAAGUGCUGAAAGCAUCUAAGCAUGAAGCCCCCCUCAAGAUGAGAUUUCCCAACUUCGGUUAUAAGAUCCCUCAAAGAUGAUGAGGUUAAUAGGUUCGAGGUGGAAGCAUGGUGACAUGUGGAGCUGACGAAUACUAAUCGAUCGAAGACUUAAUCAA